GUUAACCAUCUAGGGGAGCCGUAGGGAAACCGAGUCUUAACUGGGCGUUCAGUCUCUGGAUAUAGACCCGAAACCAGGUGAUCUAGCCAUGGGCAGGUUGAAGGUUGAGUAACAUCAACUGGAGGACCGAACCGACUAAUGUUGAAAAAUUAGCGGAUGACUUGUGGCUAGGGGUGAAAGGCCAAUCAAACCUGGAGAUAGCUGGUUCUCCCCGAAAGCUAUUUAGGUAGCGCCUCGGACGAAUACUACUGGGGGUAGAGCACUGUUAAGGCUAGGGGGUCAUCCCGACUUACCAACCCUUUGCAAACUCCGAAUACCAGUAAGUACUAUCCGGGAGACACACGGCGGGUGCUAACGUCCGUCGUGGAGAGGGAAACAACCCAGACCGCCAGCUAAGGUCCCAAAUUACUACUAAGUGGGAAACGAUGUGGGAAGGCUCAGACAGCCAGGAUGUUGGCUUAGAAGCAGCCAUCAUUUAAAGAAAGCGUAAUAGCUCACUGGUCGAGUCGGCCUGCGCGGAAGAUGUAACGGGGCUAAGUAGUAAACCGAAGCUGCGGCAAUAUACUUUUGUAUAUUGGGUAGGGGAGCGUUCUGUAAGCGGUUGAAGGUGUGUGGUAACGCAUGCUGGACGUAUCAGAAGUGCGAAUGCUGACAUGAGUAACGAUAAAGGGGGUGAAAAACCUCCUCGCCGGAAGACCAAGGGUUCCUGUCCAACGUUAAUCGGGGCAGGGUAAGUCGACCCCUAAGGCGAGGCCGAAAGGCGUAGUCGAUGGGAAACGGGUUAAUAUUCCCGUACUUCUUACAAUUGCGAUGGGGGGACGGAGAAGGCUAGGUGGGCCUGGCGACGGUUGUCCAGGUUCAAGUGCGUAGGCUU
This 874-nucleotide ribosomal RNA is filed under the name Vibrio parahaemolyticus. Its description in RNAcentral is "partial 23S ribosomal RNA". It matches the Rfam family "Bacterial large subunit ribosomal RNA", at positions 645 to 1527 of the family's 2925-position model. Lineage: Bacteria; Pseudomonadati; Pseudomonadota; Gammaproteobacteria; Vibrionales; Vibrionaceae. The record is from RNAcentral.